RNAcentral lists this ribosomal RNA (487 nucleotides) under uncultured bacterium. RNAcentral's name for it is "partial 16S ribosomal RNA". It matches the Rfam family "Bacterial small subunit ribosomal RNA", at positions 28 to 507 of the family's 1533-position model. The record is from RNAcentral.
GAUGAGCGCUAGCGAUAGGCUUAACACAUGCAAGUCGAGGGGCAGCACAAGGUAGCUUGCUAUCUGGGUGGCGACCGGCGCACGGGUGCGUAACGCGUAUGCAACUUGCCCUAUACAGGAGGAUAACCCGUCGAAAGACGGACUAAUACUGCGUAUGCUCACAACUUGGCAUCAAGUGGUGAGGAAAGAAAUUCGGUAUAGGAUAGGCAUGCGUCCCAUUAGCUUGUUGGUGAGGUAACGGCUCACCAAGGCAACGAUGGGUAGGGGAACUGAGAGGUUUAUCCCCCACACUGGUACUGAGACACGGACCAGACUCCUACGGGAGGCAGCAGUGAGGAAUAUUGGUCAAUGGGCGCGAGCCUGAACCAGCCAAGUCGCGUGAAGGAUGACUGUCUUAUGGAUUGUAAACUUCUUUUAUACGGGAAUAACAAGAGUCACGUGUGACUCCCUGCAUGUACCGUAUGAAUAAGCAUCGGCUAACUCCGUG